UCGGGUCGAUCGGGCCUCCUGUGAGGUUACGCUGGUGGUGCCGAAGUUAUUCCUCGGGCCUGUUCCAUCCUCGGCCUCUUGCUAUCCUCGCACCUUCCCACCAUCAGGGCUUCGGCGGCAAUGUACCAGUUGGUGCGUUGGAGCAUCUCGGGGAUGGUUGCAGGCGGCUUCUCAAUCAACAACCAGAAGAACCUCGAGGGUCUUAGGCUCAUAAAAAAUGCUUGCAUGAUCAGAGAGGGAUGAGUGUUUGGGAACCCCCGGAUUUUGACGGCAAAGCACGCCACAAAUUUGGAGAGUGA
This 299-nucleotide long non-coding RNA is filed under the name Musa acuminata (dwarf banana). RNAcentral describes it as "long non-coding RNA (MACU_LNC006970)". The record is from RNAcentral. Lineage: Eukaryota; Viridiplantae; Streptophyta; Magnoliopsida; Zingiberales; Musaceae.